GUUUUUAGUAGCUUAGUAUUAAGCACGGCCCCGAAGUUGCCGCGACGGACACAAAAUCCCAAGAACA
This 67-nucleotide transfer RNA is filed under the name Uroplatus pietschmanni. RNAcentral describes it as "tRNA-Phe". The record is from RNAcentral. Lineage: Eukaryota; Metazoa; Chordata; Lepidosauria; Squamata; Gekkonidae.